RNAcentral lists this ribosomal RNA (692 nucleotides) under uncultured bacterium. RNAcentral's name for it is "bacterial SSU rRNA". It matches the Rfam family "Bacterial small subunit ribosomal RNA", at positions 71 to 756 of the family's 1533-position model. The record is from RNAcentral.
UGAUCUAGCUUGCUAGAUUGAUGGCGAGUGGCGAACGGGUGAGUAAUACAUCGGAACGUGCCCUGUAGUGGGGGAUAACUAGUCGAAAGAUUAGCUAAUACCGCAUACGACCUGAGGGUGAAAGUGGGGGACCGCAAGGCCUCAUGCUAUAGGAGCGGCCGAUGUCUGAUUAGCUAGUUGGUGAGGUAAAGGCUCACCAAGGCGACGAUCAGUAGCUGGUCUGAGAGGACGAUCAGCCACACUGGGACUGAGACACGGCCCAGACUCCUACGGGAGGCAGUAGUGGGGAAUUUUGGACAAUGGGGGCAACCCUGAUCCAGCAAUGCCGCGUGUGUGAAGAAGGCCUUCGGGUUGUAAAGCACUUUUGUCCGGAAAGAAAUCGCACUUACUAAUAUUAGGUGUGGAUGACGGUACCGGAAGAAUAAGGACCGGCUAACUACGUGCCAGCAGCCGCGGUAAUACGUAGGGUCCAAGCGUUAAUCGGAAUUACUGGGCGUAAAGCGUGCGCAGGCGGUUGUGCAAGACCGAUGUGAAAUCCCCGGGCUUAACCUGGGAAUUGCAUUGGUGACUGCACGGCUAGAGUGUGUCAGAGGGGGGUAGAAUUCCACGUGUAGCAGUGAAAUGCGUAGAGAUGUGGAGGAAUACCGAUGGCGAAGGCAGCCCCCUGGGAUAACACUGACGCUCAUGCACGA